This 1707-nucleotide ribosomal RNA is filed under the name Salmonella enterica subsp. enterica serovar Gaminara. RNAcentral describes it as "partial 23S ribosomal RNA". It matches the Rfam family "Bacterial large subunit ribosomal RNA", at positions 1252 to 2925 of the family's 2925-position model. The record is from RNAcentral. Lineage: Bacteria; Pseudomonadati; Pseudomonadota; Gammaproteobacteria; Enterobacterales; Enterobacteriaceae.
GAAGGUGGCCUGUGAGGGUUGCUGGAGGUAUCAGAAGUGCGAAUGCUGACAUAAGUAACGAUAAAGCGGGUGAAAAGCCCGCUCGCCGGAAGACCAAGGGUUCCUGUCCAACGUUAAUCGGGGCAGGGUGAGUCGACCCCUAAGGCGAGGCCGAAAGGCGUAGUCGAUGGGAAACGGGUUAAUAUUCCCGUACUUGGUGUUACUGCGAAGGGGGGACGGAGAAGGCUAUGUUGGCCGGGCGACGGUUGUCCCGGUUUAAGCGUGUAGGUGUGUGUUCCAGGUAAAUCCGGUUCACUUUAACACUGAGGCGUGAUGACGAGGCACUACGGUGCUGAAGCAACAAAUGCCCUGCUUCCAGGAAAAGCCUCUAAGCAUCAGGUAACAUCAAAUCGUACCCCAAACCGACACAGGUGGUCAGGUAGAGAAUACCAAGGCGCUUGAGAGAACUCGGGUGAAGGAACUAGGCAAAAUGGUGCCGUAACUUCGGGAGAAGGCACGCUGACAUGUAGGUGAAGUGAUUUACUCAUGGAGCUGAAGUCAGUCGAAGAUACCAGCUGGCUGCAACUGUUUAUUAAAAACACAGCACUGUGCAAACACGAAAGUGGACGUAUACGGUGUGACGCCUGCCCGGUGCCGGAAGGUUAAUUGAUGGGGUCAGCGCAAGCGAAGCUCCUGAUCGAAGCCCCGGUAAACGGCGGCCGUAACUAUAACGGUCCUAAGGUAGCGAAAUUCCUUGUCGGGUAAGUUCCGACCUGCACGAAUGGCGUAAUGAUGGCCAGGCUGUCUCCACCCGAGACUCAGUGAAAUUGAACUCGCUGUGAAGAUGCAGUGUACCCGCGGCAAGACGGAAAGACCCCGUGAACCUUUACUAUAGCUUGACACUGAACAUUGAGCCUUGAUGUGUAGGAUAGGUGGGAGGCUUUGAAGUGUGGACGCCAGUCUGCAUGGAGCCGACCUUGAAAUACCACCCUUUAAUGUUUGAUGUUCUAACGUGGACCCGUAAUCCGGGUUGCGGACAGUGUCUGGUGGGUAGUUUGACUGGGGCGGUCUCCUCCUAAAGAGUAACGGAGGAGCACGAAGGUUGGCUAAUCCUGGUCGGACAUCAGGAGGUUAGUGCAAUGGCAUAAGCCAGCUUGACUGCGAGCGUGACGGCGCGAGCAGGUGCGAAAGCAGGUCAUAGUGAUCCGGUGGUUCUGAAUGGAAGGGCCAUCGCUCAACGGAUAAAAGGUACUCCGGGGAUAACAGGCUGAUACCGCCCAAGAGUUCAUAUCGACGGCGGUGUUUGGCACCUCGAUGUCGGCUCAUCACAUCCUGGGGCUGAAGUAGGUCCCAAGGGUAUGGCUGUUCGCCAUUUAAAGUGGUACGCGAGCUGGGUUUAGAACGUCGUGAGACAGUUCGGUCCCUAUCUGCCGUGGGCGCUGGAGAACUGAGGGGGGCUGCUCCUAGUACGAGAGGACCGGAGUGGACGCAUCACUGGUGUUCGGGUUGUCAUGCCAAUGGCACUGCCCGGUAGCUAAAUGCGGAAGAGAUAAGUGCUGAAAGCAUCUAAGCACGAAACUUGCCCCGAGAUGAGUUCUCCCUGAGACUUUAAGUCUCCUGAAGGAACGUUGAAGACGACGACGUUGAUAGGCCGGGUGUGUAAGCGCAGCGAUGCGUUGAGCUAACCGGUACUAAUGAACCGUGAGGCUUAACCUUACAACGCCGAAG